UGAGGAAUAUUGCGCAAUGGGCGAAAGCCUGACGCAGCGACGCCGCGUGGGGGAUGAAGGUCUUCGGAUUGUAAACCCCUUUCGGGAGGGAAGAUGGGACGGGCAACCGUUCGGACGGUACCUCCAGAAGCAGCCACGGCUAACUUCGUGCCAGCAGCCGCGGUAAUACGAAGGUGGCAAGCGUUGUUCGGAUUUACUGGGCGUACAGGGAGCGUAGGCGGUUUGGUAAGCCCUCCGGGAAAUCUUCGGGCUUAACCCGGAAAGGUCGGAGGGGACUGCCAAGCUAGAGGACGGGAGAGGAGCGCGGAAUUCCCGGUGUAGCGGUGAAAUGCGUAGAGAUCGGGAGGAAGGCCGGUGGCGAAGGCGGCGCUCUGGAACGUUCCUGACGCUGAGGCUCGAAAGCGUGGGGAGCAAACAGG
This 419-nucleotide ribosomal RNA is filed under the name uncultured bacterium. Its description in RNAcentral is "bacterial SSU rRNA". It matches the Rfam family "Bacterial small subunit ribosomal RNA", at positions 355 to 776 of the family's 1533-position model. The record is from RNAcentral.